AAAACUUCUAAUACACUCACGUAGUUUCAUAUUUUUUUAUUUUAAUAUUAUAUAAUUUAAAGUGUAUUAAUUUAUUAUCAUAUGGUUUCGUAUUUUCUCAUUUUAAUACUCUGUGAUUUCAAGUGUAUUAAGUUAUUAUCUGUGGUUUCGCACUUUCUCACUUUAGUAUCAUGUGGUUUAAUAUUUCGUUAAAUUAUAUAUCCCGAAAUGGAUAAUAAAAAAAGAAAAUUGAAACCACAGAGUACUAACUUGAUAUACUUGAAAUCACAGGGUACUGAAGUGAGAAAAUGCGAAACCACAGUUUACUAAUUUGAUAUACUUGAAACCACAUCGUACUAAAAUGAAAAAGUGCGAAUCACGAAGGAAUAUUUGAAAUUUCCCUUAAAAUUUUUGUUUUUUCCUUUUUUGGAGGAUGGUACGAAGCAAAUGGCCUAUAAGUUUACAUAUUCAAAAAAAUAUUUACAAAGCUGAAACGAAAUAGAUUUAAAAUAUAGGGAAAACUUCAAAAAACACUCUUGUGGUUUCAAAUUUUUUCACUUUAGUACCAUGUGGUUUAAAAUGUAUCAAGUUAGUACCUGUGGUUUCUCACUUUAUCACUUUAGUAUCUUGUUGUUUAAAGUGUAUCAAGUUAGUACCCUAUAGUUUUGCACUUUAUCAUUUUAGUACCCUGUGGUUUUAAUUUUGUAUCAAAUUAGUACCCCGUAGUUUUUUAAACUAUAGGGUACUAAAGUGAUAAAGUGUGAAACUACAGGGUACGUAAGUGAGAAACCACAGGGUACUAACUUGAUACAUUUUAAACCACAGGGUACUAAAGUGAUAAAGUGAGAAACCACAGGGUACUAACUUGAUACACUUUAAAUUACGGAGUACUAAAAUGAAAAAGUAUGAAACCACAAUAGGGGUUUUUGAAAUUUUUCCUAAAAUAUAUUGGGGUACGACAAAGACGAAGGAUAUAGAGAAGUGAGAGAUUGAAAAAGAAUGGAAAAGAAAAGAAUAGAAAUAUCUCUAAAAAAAAAAAGAAAAGAAAUAAACCAAGUUUAAUAUUUUUUUAAUAAUUUUGUUGUGUAGUUUUAAAGGAUUUCGAAAAUUUGGUACGCAUUCAUUUCUUUCUUUCCGGUCAAAAUCAUGCCAAGCGAAUAAACUAUUGAAUGUUAAGGACCUUUUUGUUUGGGUGAAAAUGAAUAUGAGUGAAAUUGUUUCUAACUAUAAACAAUGAUUUUUGCUGUUGAUUCGCCGUAGUAAAAAUACGGUCGAAACUUAGUUAUUCGAAACUAGGCUGAAGUUAAAUUACGGUGAAAAAAGAUGAAAAAUAUAAUAAAAUAAUAUAAUAGAUAAUAUUAGUUAUAUUUAAAUAUAUUUAAUUAUGAUGCUAAUUACUCUUUUAUUUAGUUUACAUAUUUAAAAUAAUAUAAAAAUUAAUUAGUUAAGUUUUAGUAUUUUCUUCAUUUUAGUUUAUAUAUUUAAAAUAUAAUGAAAAUUGAUUAGUUAAGUAUUAAUAUUUUUUUACUUUAUAAUUUUAUUGUUAUAUUAUUAUAAUUUGGGUAUAAAAAAUAAUUUAAUUGUUAAAUUUUAAUUAUAUAGAAAUAUAAUUAUAUUAAGUUUAUUUAUUAUAUUAUAAAUUAUUAUUUAUCAAGUUAUUUAUUAUUUAUACAUAAAUUAUAUUUUAUAUUAUUCACUUUCUGCCAAAACAAACAAUAGAGUUGAAAAAACUUUAUUUCUAUGAAACAAACAACGAGGAAAAAUAAUUUUUAUCUGAAUUCCACUUCAACACAAAGUCCACUAGUUAAUUCAAAGUUUAGUUUCGAUGAAACCAACAAGUCUCAAGAGAUAACUAGAAUUC
Molecule: long non-coding RNA, 1840 nt
Filed under: Ananas comosus (pineapple)
Lineage: Eukaryota; Viridiplantae; Streptophyta; Magnoliopsida; Poales; Bromeliaceae
Description: long non-coding RNA (ACOM_LNC004119)
Source: RNAcentral